This 447-nucleotide ribosomal RNA is filed under the name uncultured bacterium. RNAcentral describes it as "bacterial SSU rRNA". It matches the Rfam family "Bacterial small subunit ribosomal RNA", at positions 329 to 793 of the family's 1533-position model. The record is from RNAcentral.
GUCCAGACUCCUACGGGAGGCAGCAGUGGGGAAUAUUGCACAAUGGGGGAAACCCUGAUGCAGCGACGCCGCGUGAGCGAUGAAGUAUUUCGGUAUGUAAAGCUCUAUCAGCAGGGAAGAAGAUGACGGUACCUGACUAAGAAGCCCCGGCUAACUACGUGCCAGCAGCCGCGGUAAUACGUAGGGGGCAAGCGUUAUCCGGAUUUACUGGGUGUAAAGGGAGCGUAGACGGCGGCGCAAGCCAGAUGUGGAAGCCCGGGGCUCAACUCCGGGACUGCAUUUGGAACUGUGUGGCUGGAGUGUCGGAGAGGCAGGCGGAAUUCCUAGUGUAGCGGUGAAAUGCGUAGAUAUUAGGAGGAACACCAGUGGCGAAGGCGGCCUGCUGGACGAUGACUGACGUUGAGGCUCGAAAGCGUGGGGAGCAAACAGGAUUAGAUACCCCUGUAC